UCCAGUUUAUAUUACAGUUCAAUGGUGUCCCCACAGUACCCAUGAGCCCACGCGGCCAACUCAAUAGAAAUCCUCACUUCUUGACUUCUUCACUCGUUAUUGUGUUCUUAUUUCGUUGGAACUGGCAGAGUUGGCGAAUAUUUUCAUUUUAUAGUCGAAAUGACCGCGUUUUUACCGUCAAAUCUUUUGGCAUUAUUUGCUGCUAGACCUCCCAUACCAUAUCUUCCGCCUCUGGAUAAACUAGGUCAUCAGAAAAAGCCUUGGCCGUACAGUGGAAUUGCGAGUAUCGUUGCUGACUUCGAGGAUCCUGAAGAUACACCUCCAACUCGUGCAGAAACUAGAGGUGUAAAAAUAGAAAGAAAGAAAUGUGAAAGAAUUGACAAAAACAAAGAGGAUUUGGAGAAAGCUGCAGAAGAAUGGGAUCCUCACACUGAUCCAAAUGCUGUCACAGAGGCAUUUAAAACUUUAUUUAUUGCCAGACUGAAUUACGAUACAUCUGAAAGGAAAAUACGGAGAGAGAUGGAAGUUUAUGGUCCUGUAAAAUCGAUUCAAAUGGUGACCAAUUCUACAACAGGAACACCUCGUGGUUAUUGUUUUGUCGAGUUUGAACAUGAAAAGGACAUGCAUAUGCAAAUACUGUCGAUAUUGCCAAGUGAAUGGCAACAGACGAUUGCUCGCUCCUAUGCCAUGGCUAACACUACUUGAUCAUUUAAAAUGUUUCAUUUUAACUGCCGCUUAUAAACAUGCUGACGGUAAGAAGAAUAACAGUGAAGAACUGGAAACGUCGACGUUUAGGUGGAGGGCAAGGUGGCACACGAAAUGGUGCUCCUGAAGCAAACAUAAAGCAUUCUGGCCGCGUCGAAAAUUUUGACAGGGAUCGCGAGCGAGAUGAACGUGAUCGUGGUGGUGAAUAUCGUGACCGUUCAAGGCGUUAACGAGACCGUGGCCGUGAUAGAGAUCGCGAUAGACAUGAUCGUCGCCGAGAAAGGGAUUGUGAUGGUCGGGAUCGCGGGGGUCGGAUGACGUCGAAUCUUUAUUUACCAACGUGCCUUUGAACAGAGCAAUAAAAAUAAUUUUGGAAAGAAAUUUUUGAGAAAAUCAAAUUUUAACUAAACUUGAGAAAAGAACUCUUAAAAAAGUUAUUAUUGACUGUUGCAUUAAAAGCGCUUUUUCUUUCGACAAUGAAAUUUUUUAAACAAA
This is an RNA transcript of Xenia sp. Carnegie-2017, 1200 nucleotides long. It is a transcript of the gene named U1 small nuclear ribonucleoprotein 70 kDa-like, with no coding region annotated. NCBI's taxonomy places the organism in Eukaryota, Metazoa, Cnidaria, Anthozoa, Malacalcyonacea, Xeniidae. The transcript is spliced from 10 exons. The record is from RefSeq and is a predicted model, not a curated record.